UAGGGAAUCUUCCACAAUGGGCGAAAGCCUGAUGGAGCAACGCCGCGUGUGUGAUGAAGGGUUUCGGCUCGUAAACNCUGUUGUAAGAGAAGAAUGACAUUGAGAGUAACUGUUCAAUGUGUGACGGUAUCUUACCAGAAAGGAACGGCUAAUACGUGCCAG
Molecule: ribosomal RNA, 162 nt
Filed under: uncultured bacterium
Lineage: Bacteria
Description: partial 16S rRNA
Rfam family: Bacterial small subunit ribosomal RNA
Source: RNAcentral